UUUAGACAUGCACACAAAUAUUCUUCCUGGAGGGUACACGAUCAGUGUAGUAUUAGUAUCACAAAUGCGGCAACUUGAAAAUGAAGGAAUGUGAGUUCACGUGUACAAGGAGAGGGAGAGAGAGAGAGUGCAAGCUGUAAAUGGUGGCUGGCUACUUGAUUAAUAUUAUUCAGCACCAAAUGAGCUGAAUGUGCAUAGUGGACAGCGCAGACUCAGAGAUCCUACUGAGACACAUACAACAAAUAGUGGGGAUGAGUGGAAAAAGGAUCAAAUAGUUUUGUAGAUUAGAGUGAAAGAUUGAUUGAUACUCUUUUUCUAGCAAAACAAGGGAUGGGUUUCAGAAUUUAUAUACUCAAACUUUCCAACCCCGUACAGCUGAGACUAGACUCUAAUGAUAGUAGUCAACAGCAAGUUGGAUAGUGGUGCCAAAAGGAACCCCUUCAAAAGUUUUUAAUUUUUUUCCCUUCCUUCUUUUUGCUGUAGUGCCGUAUUUUAAAAAAAUGGUCUUGUGGAAAAUGUUUCCUCUAAAUUAUUUUACGGGAAGGCUGAUGAUUACCAACUAUCUUUUGUAGCUGAUGCGGUUCAAACCACUCUUGGAUAGAAGGGAAGGUAAUCGACCUAUCAAGACACCCGCCCACCCCUCGUGCUCCUUUGAGAGGUAAUAUAUAUCUCUACAUUUUCUUUUAGCUUCAAAAUUCUUGGUGGUU
This 707-nucleotide long non-coding RNA is filed under the name Panax ginseng (ginseng). RNAcentral's name for it is "long non-coding RNA (PGIN_LNC002946)". The record is from RNAcentral. Lineage: Eukaryota; Viridiplantae; Streptophyta; Magnoliopsida; Apiales; Araliaceae.